CCUCCCCCUCCCCAGACUGCUGCUUCUCCGUGUUGUUGUUUGAGGAGGGGAUUACUGAUAGAACCAUAGCUUGCGUCUCACGUGGCUGAUAACCUGGUCUCUACAGAAGAGGUCGUGCUCAGAGCCCAUGGUCCCACCAGCUCGUCGCCAGUGUUAGAUCCGCGGAAGAACCAGUCUGAGGUGUCUGAGGCAAACUGGCAAAUCUUCUUGAGAGGCACCACAGUGAGACCUGGCACUAAUCCCUCAUGCCUACUCCAGACAACACAAGCCCUAUAACUCUUCAGUUUCUUGGAGGAAAGACAACGCUUAUCCUGGGAGAUAAAAAGAGUAUCUUUAAUGGACUUAGCAAGGACUGAACUAAUUCCAACUUUCAAAAUGAUCUGGAUAAAUUAUAUAUAUCAUUUCUAAUUUAGUUCUGCUUCUUUUUAUGUAUUCGAUUUAUAUAGUUGCCCAUUUUACUACUACUUCACUCUAGGUAGCUAAUUCUCCAAAUCAAUGACAAAUCUCAAGUUUAUGUUUGGGAAUGAAAUCAGAUUUCACAAUUCUGUUUUUGAACAUGUUAACAUAUUGAAUGUUUUGCAUUUAGCACCAUAAUUAGAAAAUAUACCUACAGUAAUGUCUACUCACAAUAAGUAAAGAUUACUGGUCCGCAUUGUAGAACCAUAUUAAAUUAUUCUUCUACUUCCAGUGGUCCAUAUUUCCCAACAAGUAUGGAUAGAACUGCUCUUCUGUGUAG
Non-coding RNA from Thamnophis sirtalis, 736 nucleotides. The record is from RefSeq and is a predicted model, not a curated record. Lineage: Eukaryota; Metazoa; Chordata; Lepidosauria; Squamata; Natricidae.